UUGACAAGACAUUGCAUUUAGGGCUGAGUUUUCCAAGGUCUGUCUCUAUCUCUGCAUACUGUCUGGCUGUGAAUCUCUAUCUGUUGCAGGAGGAAGUGUCUCUGCUGAUGACUGAGCAAGGUACUGAUCUAAAAGUAUAGAAGAAUGGCAUUUGGAGUCAUUUUAUUGCUCCAUUGUCUCUUGUUUGUUUGUUUUUUAGAACAUUAGUAUUUGGUUUUACCCUAGGCCCCCAGGAUAUAUGGUCUCACUCACUCUGUACCUAUUCAAUAAUUUGAAGUCUUAGAGGAAUAAGGCAAUUAAAGAAGAUCGAGGGGACACAAUUGGAAAGGAAGAAGUCAAAGUAUCUGUAUUUGCAGAUGAUGUGAUGGCGUACAUAAGUGAUCCUAAAAAUUCCACCACGGAGUUCCUACAGCUGGUAAAUACUUUCAGCAAGGUAGAAGGGUGUCAAAUUAAUUCAACAAAAUCAGUAGCAUUCCUCUAUAUACAAAUAAAACACUGAUUAGAAAAAAUAAGGGAAACAAUACCUUUCACAAGAGUCUUAGAUAAUAUAAAAUCUCUUGGGGGUAACUCUAGCUAAGCAAGUGAAAGACUUGUAUGGUAAAAAGACACCGAAGAGAUUACAGGAUGUAUCAGAAGAUGGAAAGAUCUCCCACGCUCAUGAAUUGGUAGAAUUGUAAAAAUGGUCAUUCUAUCAAAUGCAAUGUACAGGUCCAAUGUCCUCUCCAUUAAAAUUCCAACACAAUUAUUCAUAGAUUUCCACAGAAAAAGACAAUUUUCGAUUUCAUAUGGAAAUAUACAGAGAGAGACAGAGAGACAGAGAGAGAAUAAUACAAUAACCACUGGAAGUAUGGAAGUAUCACUGCCCCCAACCUUGCUGUACUGCAGAGCUAUAGUAAUAAAAUUGGCAUGGUAUUAGAGCAAAAACAAACAUGUCAAUCAGUGGCUUCAAAUUGAAGAUCCAGACAUAAUCCAUAUACCUAUGGAUAGCUGAUACAUUUAUAUAUAUAAAGAAUCCAGAAAUAUACACUGGAAAAAACAUAGCAUCUUUAACAAAUGUCACUGGUCAAAAACUGAAUGGUGGCAUAUAGAAGAAUUCAAAUAGUCCAUACUCAUCAGUCCACUUAAAACUCAAGUCCAAAUGCAUAAAAAACCUCAACAUAAAACCAGAUAUCCUGAACCUGAUAGAAGAAAAAAACAGGGAAUAGCCUUGAACUCACUGGCACUGCAGAAGACUUUGUGAACAGAACACUAUUAGCACAGACACUAAGAUCGACAAUGAAUACAUGGGACCUCAUGAAACUAAAAAGCUUCUGGAUGACAAAUGACACCAUUAUUUAAACAGAGUGGCAGCCUACAGAAUGGGAAGAGAUUUUUUUUCCAAUUACAUAUUUAACAGUGGGCUAAUAUCC
RNAcentral lists this long non-coding RNA (1409 nucleotides) under Mus musculus (house mouse). RNAcentral describes it as "long non-coding RNA chr2:14673403-14674812". The record is from RNAcentral. Lineage: Eukaryota; Metazoa; Chordata; Mammalia; Rodentia; Muridae.